AUGAACCCUACCUCGGCUCCGGGUCCGGAUGGCUUGCCGGUUAAGUUCUUCCAGGCCUUCUGGAAUGUGAUCAAGCCGGAGGUCAUGGCCAUCUUUGAGGAGUUCUAUAUUGGGUCCAUUGAUCUCGGGCGCCUCAACUACGGGACGAUCUCUCUUAUCCCCAAGGUCCCGGGUGCUGCUGAUAUCCGUCAGUUUCGCCCGAUUACGGUGAUAAACAUGAUCUUCCGUAUUCUGGCAAAAAGGUACGCCAAUAGGGUGACCCUUCUCGCGGAUCACAUUACCUACCCCAACCAGACGGCCUUCAUCCAAGGCCGAUAUAUUCUGGAUGGGGUGCUAGUCCUCCAGGAAGUUCUCCAUGAGGUCCGGUCCAAACACCUUAAGGCUGUCUUCUUGAAGAUCGAUUUCCAUAAGGCCUACGACACUGUUAGCUGGCCCUUCCUUCGGGAAGUCAUCCUUCGGAAAGGAUUUGAUGACCGGUGGAUCGCUCGGGUU
Molecule: ribosomal RNA, 492 nt
Filed under: Triticum aestivum (bread wheat)
Lineage: Eukaryota; Viridiplantae; Streptophyta; Magnoliopsida; Poales; Poaceae
Description: partial small subunit ribosomal RNA
Source: RNAcentral